GAAAGAAAAAAAAAAAGAAAAAGAGCUUUUUUUAAUUUAAAUUUUGUUGUGUUCAGUGAACUUGAUUCUACUAUCGCUUGUUGUGUCAUGGUUAUGUGCACCUUUUGGUGGAUGCUAUUUGGUUUUGCAGAUUGCAAGUACUGGAUGUGUAUAGCUAAAUAGUCCUUACAUCAUGGUAAAUUCGUUGGCUCUACUUUUACCAUUAUACUUUUAAAUGAAUUCACAACCUAUAUAUAUCUCUAAACCCUAGAAACAUA
This 257-nucleotide long non-coding RNA is filed under the name Prunus persica (peach). RNAcentral's name for it is "long non-coding RNA (PPER_LNC006066)". Lineage: Eukaryota; Viridiplantae; Streptophyta; Magnoliopsida; Rosales; Rosaceae. The record is from RNAcentral.